Molecule: long non-coding RNA, 860 nt
Organism: Helianthus annuus (common sunflower)
Lineage: Eukaryota; Viridiplantae; Streptophyta; Magnoliopsida; Asterales; Asteraceae
Exons: 2
Source: RefSeq, a predicted model, not a curated record
CAAAUAGAUCUGUUACCAACCCUAGCCGGAGAUUUCCAAAAUCUCCCAACAACUGCUUCCAGUUGCUUCUAAUCACAAUGCUACUUGUGAUAAAAUCUUAUCACAACCUGCAUUGCUGAUCAAUUCACUGUUCAAUUCCAAAAUUCUUCACCAGAAAACCUCAAAUACUUACUUAAUCUCCAGUUUCACUCCACGGCGCUGCUAAUUGGCUGCUAAUUGUUCAUGGUUAAUCGAAAUUGAGCUGAUUCUUGAAUUCAGUACAUAAUAGUUCAUUAAUUUGACAUUUUUGUUGAAUAUUGGAGUUCUAAUUGUUGUGUGGAUCUGAGAUGAUGAUUCUGUAUACAAUUGACGCACAAUACGACGUCGUAGAAGUGUAGAAGUAUUGCGAGAUUGAUUUUAGUUCCAUUCAGCGAUUAGGUUAAGUUUCUGUAAGGAAGAUCGGCGAUAAUGUCUUCUAAUACGGUGGAAGUCAACGGAACUGAAUCUGACAUGGCAUUUCAGGCAUUUGAAGGUAAUUUUUCUUACAAAGUUGACGAGUCGCAGGUACCGGUGCCGGAAUUGAAUAUUAGUGUGAUAAAUGGUGAAUCGGUGACUAUGGAAGUCAACGGAAUGGAAUCUGAGGCGCUGCCUGUGGCAUUUGACGCGCUUGAAAGAUUGAAGAUUAAUUCACAAGCUUGAGCAGCUAAUUGCUUUGCGGUUUCCCCCGAGGCUAGGGUUUUGUAAGUAGAUGAACUAAUUCAAUCUGUCUUUAUGUUUGGGAUUAGCAAUCUAAGCAUUCAAUGCUUUUUACUAUUUGAUUCAUUAAUGUGAUUGUAACCGGUUGAGUUUUAUUCAAUAUCAUUUCGUUUUUCUUUCAGGUA